GGCACCGAGCGCCCCAGGCCCACAGCACGGGGCGAGGCCCGGGGCCGUCUGGCACAGCCCGCAUCUCCCCCGGCCCCACCGCGUCCCCGACCCCCGCAGCUCCAGGCUGGGUGACCUCGGGCCUCCUCGAGAGCCACCCGGCGAGGCCCGUGGUGCGGGGCAGCUCCCGCGCUGGCCCCGAGGCCUACCCCGUGCUGGCACGGCGCUCCGCAGGUGGAAGGCCGGAGCCGAGCCCGAGGGCUGCGCAGCUGCCCAGGCGGAGCAUCCCUGCUCGGUACGCCGGCGUUGUUUUGGGGGUGAGAACGGUGAGCUCUGCUGGUAUCGGUGCUCCCGGCUGCAGCUCCUCCCCAUCACCCGCAGCAUUGGAGCCCCGCAGCAUUGGAGCCCCGCAGCAUCAGCUCACACAGCUGCAGAGAGCACCGAGGCCUGCAGGAAUGGGAGCCGAAAGGCGCCGUAUCCUCACCUGUACCCCGCACCUCUCUGGGACGUCCCAUCAGACCGACACCUCAGCAGCCAUUGUACCAACGGGAGGGCUGUGAACUGUUCAAGUAAACGAACACGGAGCCAGCAUUAAAGCCCUGCUGCCCCGGGGCGGUUCCACGGCCCGUCCCCAUCGCUCGGGUGGCAGCUGGGCAGCACCGCCCCUGCUCUGCUAUUUCUGCCACGCUGCAGCUGCCCGGAGCAGCAGCCAAAACCAGACGCCCGCGUCCUGCCCCAGAAACGCAUGGGACAAACAGGAUGCCAGAGACAAGAGUUCAUCUCAAAUGGAGAAAAUGAGCACAGGCUCCGACGCCCAACUGCAGCGUUGGCUCUGCUGAGUGGCAGUAGCUGGGCUCCAGGCAGGGGCGAACACGCAGCCCUGCUGUGGCUGUGAGCAGUGAGUGCCCGUGGCUGGGUGAUGUUAUCCAGCAGUGGGGCCCUUUUUCACAGCUCGGUGUUGACACCAGCAAGAAGUUCCCUCGAGCAGAGCUGGGAGUUGAGAGACAAGCAGCACAGCCCCCCCCCCCCAAACCAGGACUGCCCCAGUUACAGAGCAUCCCUACCUGGGAGCAGUGCACAAAACACGGGAUGGAGGCCGGUCAGGGUGGCAGCGCUGGAUCCAAGCAGCUCGGUGGCACGGGCUCGCUCUGCCCCAGCCUCACUAAUCUGCAAAACAACCAGCAAACACCUACGAAAGCUGGGGUGCGGCCCCAGCCCACGUCGUGCUGCAACCCACAAUCCGAUGAGGUAAUGGUGGCAGGCAAGGAGGGCACAGCCCCACAGCGAGGGCGCACCAAACCCCACAGCUGCCAAAGGAUCCCGAUGGGGCUGGAGAGCACGAGGACAGUGCUGUGGGGAAUAGGGGUGCACAGGAGAGGCCUGGAACCCCUUCUUGUGCCUUCCCAUGGGAUGGGGGUGGGCAGCGAGGGCCAAAGGUGCCGUCAACAGCAGCCUGAACUGCCUGCCCCCAGCUGGGUUAUUUUUAGCCCCUCCUCAGCAAUGGGGGUUUGUUCUGUGCUGGGCAUUAAGGCACAUCGAUGCACCAGUGGCAUUUGUCCUGCACGAGGCUGCACCUGGAGGUGAAGGGAUACAGGGCACCCUCCUGGCCACUGCCCCCCAGCAGCCCCUCACCCGCUCCAACCCUCGGCCUUAAUAAUGUCAAGGGAGCCCUUAAGCAGUAAUGAGAAUGGAUUCAUCGCUGCUGUACCACUUUGCCCAAAAGCCACCAGGCUGCACCUGGGCCUCCCCCAAACCCCUCUGCUCUGUCCCAAUUAAAGCUACUAUGCCAAUUAAAGCUUCUGUGCCAAUUAAA
Gallus gallus (chicken) is the source of this 1792-nucleotide long non-coding RNA. RefSeq lists it as uncharacterized. NCBI's taxonomy places the organism in Eukaryota, Metazoa, Chordata, Aves, Galliformes, Phasianidae. The transcript is spliced from 2 exons. The record is from RefSeq and is a predicted model, not a curated record.